This 496-nucleotide ribosomal RNA is filed under the name uncultured bacterium. RNAcentral describes it as "partial 16S ribosomal RNA". It matches the Rfam family "Bacterial small subunit ribosomal RNA", at positions 28 to 506 of the family's 1533-position model. The record is from RNAcentral.
GAUGAACGCUGGCGGCGUGCCUAAUACAUGCAAGUCGAGCGAACAGACGAGGAGCUUGCUCCUCUGACGUUAGCGGCGGACGGGUGAGUAACACGUGGAUAACCUACCUAUAAGACUGGGAUAACUUCGGGAAACCGGAGCUAAUACCGGAUAAUAUAUUGAACCGCAUGGUUCAAUAGUGAAAGACGGUUUUGCUGUCACUUAUAGAUGGAUCCGCGCCGCAUUAGCUAGUUGGUAAGGUAACGGCGUACCAAGGCAACGAUGCGUAGCCGACCUGAGAGGGGGAUCGGCCACACUGGAACUGAGACACGGUCCAGACUCCUACGGGAGGCAGCAGUAGGGAAUCUUCCGCAAUGGGCGAAAGCUUGACGGAGCAACGCCGCGUGAGUGAUGAAGGUCUUCGGAUCGUAAAACUCUGUUAUUAGGGAAGAACAAAUGUGUAAGUAACUAUGCACGUCUUGACGGUACCUAAGCAGAAAGCCACGGCUAACUACGU